RNAcentral lists this ribosomal RNA (639 nucleotides) under Streptococcus sobrinus. RNAcentral's name for it is "bacterial SSU rRNA". It matches the Rfam family "Bacterial small subunit ribosomal RNA", at positions 385 to 1013 of the family's 1533-position model. The record is from RNAcentral. Lineage: Bacteria; Bacillati; Bacillota; Bacilli; Lactobacillales; Streptococcaceae.
GACCGAGCAACGCCGCGUGAGUGAAGACGGUUUUCGGAUCGUAAAGCUCUGUUGUAGGGGAAGAACGUGUGUAAGAGUGGAAAGCUUACACAGUGACGGUACCCUACCAGAAAGGGACGGCUAACUACGUGCCAGCAGCCGCGGUAAUACGUAGGUCCCGAGCGUUGUCCGGAUUUAUUGGGCGUAAAGGGAGCGCAGGCGGUUUAGUAAGUCUGAAGUUAAAGGCAUUGGCUCAACCAAUGUAUGCUUUGGAAACUGUUAGACUUGAGUGCAGAAGGGGAGAGUGGAAUUCCAUGCGUAGCGGUGAAAUGCGUAGAUAUAUGGAGGAACACCGGUGGCGAAAGCGGCUCUCUGGUCUGUCACUGACGCUGAGGCUCGAAAGCGUGGGUAUCGAACAGGAUUAGAUACCCUGGUAGUCCACGCCGUAAACGCUGAGUGCUAGGUGUUAGGUCCUUUCCGGGACUUAGCUGCCGACGCUAACGCAUUAAGCACUCCGCCUGGGGAGUACGACCGUAAGGUUGAAACUCAAAGGAAUUGACGGGGGCCCGCACAAGCGGUGGAGCAUGUGGUUUAAUUCGAAGCAACGCGAAGAACCUUACCAGGUCUUGACAUCCCGAUGCCCGCUCUAGAGAUAGAGUU